GGGGGGAGUGCCGGAUCCUGGGCUGUGUCCCCCGGUGCCUUGGGCUCCGGGGUCUGUGCUGCUGGAAUUGGGCUUCCAGGGACGCCACAGCCCCCU
This 96-nucleotide microRNA precursor is filed under the name Canis lupus familiaris (dog). RNAcentral describes it as "mir-8799 microRNA precursor family". It matches the Rfam family "mir-8799 microRNA precursor family". The record is from Rfam by way of RNAcentral. Lineage: Eukaryota; Metazoa; Chordata; Mammalia; Carnivora; Canidae. RNAcentral also lists the same sequence under 1 other name.